Molecule: long non-coding RNA, 392 nt
Filed under: Nicotiana benthamiana
Lineage: Eukaryota; Viridiplantae; Streptophyta; Magnoliopsida; Solanales; Solanaceae
Description: long non-coding RNA (NBEN_LNC008269)
Source: RNAcentral
UUUAGGUCGGGUUUUUGAUCAAAUGCAAGUUUCCGAAGUUUUAGUUUGACUUAGGCUUGAAUUCGUGGUAAUUUGAUGAUUCUUGUGUUGUUGGAUGUGGUUUUAUGAUUGGAACGUGUUUGUGUGAUGUUCUAGGAUGGGUUGGAACUUUUGGUUGAGGUCCCGGGGACGUCGGGGUGGUUUCGGGUGGUUUGACGGAAGGUUUUUGGCUUUAGGGAGUUGCAGAAGUGCAGCAGAAAUGUUGCAGAGGAAUUGCUCUAUGUGAUUGCAUAGGGGGCAUUGCGAUCGCAUAGAAGACCGGAGAGGAGCCUGUUUUGUGCUAUGCGAUCGCAUUAGGUUCCAUGCGAUCGCAUAGGUUUGGGAACUUGAGCAGUGCGUUCGCACAAGGGCGG